This 401-nucleotide unclassified non-coding RNA is filed under the name soil metagenome. RNAcentral's name for it is "partial contains 5.8S ribosomal RNA, internal transcribed spacer 2, and large subunit ribosomal RNA". The stretch from base 1 to 121 matches the Rfam family "5.8S ribosomal RNA", at positions 35 to 154 of the family's 154-position model. The record is from RNAcentral.
GAUGAAGAACGCAGCGAAAUGCGAUAAGUAAUGUGAAUUGCAGAAUUCAGUGAAUCAUCGAAUCUUUGAACGCACCUUGCGCCCCUUGGUUAUUCCAAAGGGCAUGCCUGUUUGAGUAUCAUGAACACCUCAACUCUUGUGGUUUCCCACAAUGAGCUUGGACUGUGGAGGUUUUGUUGGCCCUGUGGUCAGCUCCUCUCAAAUGGAUCAGCUUACCGGUGUUUGGUGGCAUUACGGGUGUGAUAACUAUCUACGCUCGUGGUCGUCUCCUAAUAACCUCCAGUGAUGGAGGUUCGCUGGAGCUUAUAAAUGUCUCUCCCCAGUGAAGACAGCCUUUGAACGUUCGAUCUCAAAUCAGGUAGGACUACCCGCUGAACUUAAGCAUAUCAAUAAGCGGAGGA